UACAGAGGGUGCGAGCGUUGUCCGGAAUCAUUGGGCGUAAAGCGCGCGUAGGUGGCCCCAUAAGUCCGCUGUGAAAGUCAAAGGCUCAACCUUUGAAAGCCGGUGGAUACUGUGGGACUAGAGUACGGAAGAGGCGAGUGGAAUUCCUGGUGUAGCGGUGGAAUGCGCAGAUAUCAGGAGGAACACCAAUAGCGAAGGCAGCUCGCUGGGACGUUACUGACACUGAGGCGCGAAAGCGUGGGGAGCGAACAGG
RNAcentral lists this ribosomal RNA (253 nucleotides) under uncultured bacterium. RNAcentral describes it as "partial 16S ribosomal RNA". It matches the Rfam family "Bacterial small subunit ribosomal RNA", at positions 524 to 776 of the family's 1533-position model. The record is from RNAcentral.